Molecule: transfer RNA, 89 nt
Filed under: Flavobacteriales bacterium
Lineage: Bacteria; Pseudomonadati; Bacteroidota; Flavobacteriia; Flavobacteriales
Description: tRNA-Ser
Rfam family: tRNA
About the family: Transfer RNA (tRNA) molecules are approximately 80 nucleotides in length. Their secondary structure includes four short double-helical elements and three loops (D, anti-codon, and T loops).
Source: RNAcentral
GGAGAGGUGGGUGAGUGGCUGAAACCAACAGUUUGCUAAACUGUCGUAGGGGGUAACUCUUACCGGGGGUUCGAAUCCCCCCCUCUCCG